This 468-nucleotide ribosomal RNA is filed under the name uncultured bacterium. RNAcentral describes it as "partial 16S ribosomal RNA". It matches the Rfam family "Bacterial small subunit ribosomal RNA", at positions 28 to 507 of the family's 1533-position model. The record is from RNAcentral.
GACGAACGCUGGCGGCGUGCUUAACACAUGCAAGUCGAACGGAAAGGCCCUGCUUUUGUGGGGUGCUCGAGUGGCGAACGGGUGAGUAACACGUGAGUAACCUGCCCUUGACUUUGGGAUAACUUCAGGAAACUGGGGCUAAUACCGGAUAGGAGCUCCUGCUGCAUGGUGGGGGUUGGAAAGUUUCGGCGGUUGGGGAUGGACUCGCGGCUUAUCAGCUUGUUGGUGGGGUAGUGGCUUACCAAGGCUUUGACGGGUAGCCGGCCUGAGAGGGGGACCGGCCACAGUGGGACUGAGAUACGGCCCAGAAUCCUACGGGAGGCAGCAGUGGGGAAUAUUGCACAAUGGGCGGAAGCCUGAUGCAGCAACGCCGCGUGCGGGAUGACGGCCUUCGGGUUGUAAACCGCUUUCGCCUGUGACGAAGCGUGAGUGACGGUAAUGGGUAAAGAAGCACCGGCUAACUACGUG